UACGUAGGGUGCGAGCGUUAAUCGGAAUUACUGGGCGUAAAGCGUGCGCAGGCGGUUUUGUAAGCCAGAUGUGAAAUCCCCGGGCUUAACCUGGGAAUGGCAUUUGGGACUGCAAGGCUCGAGUGCGGCAGAGGAGACUGGAAUUCCUGGUGUAGCAGUGAAAUGCGUAGAUAUCAGGAGGAACACCGAUGGCGAAGGCAGGUCGUCUGGGCUGACACUGACGCUCAUGCACGAAAGGCGUGGGGAGCAAACGAGG
Molecule: ribosomal RNA, 256 nt
Filed under: uncultured bacterium
Lineage: Bacteria
Description: partial 16S ribosomal RNA
Rfam family: Bacterial small subunit ribosomal RNA
Source: RNAcentral